AGAGUUUGAUCAUGGCUCAGAUUGAACGCUGGCGGCAUGCCUUACACAUGCAAGUCGAGCGGCAGCGCGGGGGCAACCCUGGCGGCGAGCGGCGAACGGGUGAGUAAUGCAUCGGAACGUGUCCUCUUGUGGGGGAUAACCAGUCGAAAGACUGGCUAAUACCGCAUGAGAUCGAGAGAUGAAAGCAGGGGACCGCAAGGCCUUGCGCGAGAGGAGCGGCCGAUGCCGGAUUAGCUAGUUGGUGGGGUAAAAGCCUACCAAGGCGACGAUCCGUAGCUGGUCUGAGAGGACGACCAGCCACACUGGGACUGAGACACGGCCCAGACUCCUACGGGAGGCAGCAGUGGGGAAUUUUGGACAAUGGGGGCAACCCUGAUCCAGCCAUGCCGCGUGUGUGAAGAAGGCCUUCGGGUUGUAAAGCACUUUCGGCCGGAACGAAAUCGCGCGAGCUAACACCCCGCGUGGAUGACGGUACCGGAAGAAGAAGCACCGGCUAAUUA
Molecule: ribosomal RNA, 500 nt
Filed under: uncultured bacterium
Lineage: Bacteria
Description: bacterial SSU rRNA
Rfam family: Bacterial small subunit ribosomal RNA
Source: RNAcentral